GAUGAACGCUGGCGGCGUGCCUAAUACAUGCAAGUCGAACGGACAGGCGCUGCUCUUGCUGCUCUCACGUUAGCCGCACACGUGUGUGUAACGCGUGUAUCAUGUACCUGUCAUACUGGUAUAACUUCGAGACUCGGGCUCUAAUACCAUAGAAGAUAUUGACCCACAGUGGUCAAUGGUGAGAUACGGUGUUUCUGUCACUUCUAGAUGGUUCCGCGCCUGAUUAGCUAGUUGUGAAGUUAACGGCUUACCAAGGCAACGAUGCGUAGACGACCGGAGAGGGUGAUAGGCCACACUGGAACUGAGACACGGUCAAGAGGACUACGGGAGGCAGCAGUAGGGAAUCUGCCGCAAUGGGCGAAAGCAUGACGGAGCAACGCGGAGUGAGUGAUGAAGGUCUUCGGAGCGUAAAAAUCUGUUAUUAGGGAAGAACAAAUGUGUCAGUAAAUAUGCACGGAGUGACGGUAACGAAUAAGAAAGCAACGGCUAACUACGUG
Molecule: ribosomal RNA, 497 nt
Filed under: uncultured bacterium
Lineage: Bacteria
Description: partial 16S ribosomal RNA
Rfam family: Bacterial small subunit ribosomal RNA
Source: RNAcentral